AGUGAACGCUGGCGGCAGGCCUAAUACAUGCAAGUCGAACGGCAGCACAGCAGAGCUUGCUCUGUGGGUGGCGAGUGGCGGACGGGUGAGGAAUACAUGGGAAUCUGCCCAGUCGUGGGGGAUAACGUAUGGAAACGUACGCUAAUACCGCAUGCGCCCUACGGGGGAAAGUCGGGGACCGCAAGGCCUGACGCGAUUGGAUGAGCCCAUGUUCGAUUAGCUAGUUGGCGGGGUAAAGGCCCACCAAGGCGACGAUCGAUAGCUGGUCUGAGAGGAUGAUCAGCCACACUGGAACUGAGACACGGUCCAGACUCCUACGGGAGGCAGCAGUAGGGAAUAUUGGACAAUGGGGGCAACCCUGAUCCAGCCAUGCCGCGUGAGUGAAGAAGGCCCUCGGGUUGUAAAGCUCUUUUGUCCGGAAAGAAAGCAUCUGGUUAAUACCGGGUGUUCCGACGUACCGGAAGAAUAAGCACCGGCUAACUUCGUGCCAGC
Molecule: ribosomal RNA, 492 nt
Filed under: uncultured bacterium
Lineage: Bacteria
Description: bacterial SSU rRNA
Rfam family: Bacterial small subunit ribosomal RNA
Source: RNAcentral